RNAcentral lists this ribosomal RNA (253 nucleotides) under uncultured bacterium. RNAcentral's name for it is "partial 16S ribosomal RNA". It matches the Rfam family "Bacterial small subunit ribosomal RNA", at positions 524 to 776 of the family's 1533-position model. The record is from RNAcentral.
UACAGAGGUCCCAAGCGUUGUUCGGAUUUACUGGGCGUAAAGGGUGCGUAGGCGGUUGGGUAAGUCUGAUGUGAAAUCUCACAGCUUAACUGUGAAACUGCAUUGGAUACUAUCCGGCUAGAGGAAUGGAGGGGAGACUGGAAUACUUGGUGUAGCAGUGAAAUGCGUAGAUAUCAAGUGGAACACCAGUGGCGAAGGCGAGUCUCUGGACGUUUCCUGACGCUGAGGCACGAAAGCCAGGGGAGCAAACGGG